AGAAAACAAAUCUCAUCCAUGCCCAACAGAGUGUCUAUUCCGUGUUGAUAUUGUAAAUAAAUGGAAAGAGUCUUCAACUGUUUCAGUGAUGUCCAGAUGUUUAGAUAAUAUCAAGAUGUCCGGUACGGCCUUACUGGGGAGAAGAGCAUUGUCUUUAAGCCAAUAUACUUUGUUUUUGGAUCUUCCGGAGAUUCCUUUGUGAAAAAAAAAAGAAUAUAAUUCUUUUGGUUCAAUGGAAAAUUAGCUCAGAAGUCCAGUGAGAAAGUGUUGAAGGUUUCAAUGAAACCAUCACAAAACAAAACAGUUCUGCUUAUGUCUCUGAAAGCUGGCGUCGAACUGAAUCUAACCGCAUCUUGACACAUCUUUUUAACGGUACCGUUUAUCUUUAAGCUUAUGUUUAAGUUCUUGAUUAUGAAGAGUUGAUGGUUGCUCUGUUUUUUAUAAUGCUUAUGAUCCAGCAGUAGAAGAGCAAUCAGUCAUUUGAGAAUUAAUCGCGUAGGGCAGAAAAGAAUGGCAUGUGAAAGAAUCUUCAUUGUUAAAACCAGGUCACCUUCUACAUUCCUGGGCGUGACAAGUCAGAUAAUAGGGAUACCAAGAGCUUGCCAUGUGUCUCUCUAAGGUAGUUUUGUUGCUUCAUGAAUUGGUCUAAACAAGCAGAAGAAGAAGGCUAAGGAAACCGAGCGUUAUCUUCUGGUUGGACACAGAAGUGCUUGGAAUGCAUUGGAUCGCUUGGUGCAAGCAAUUUUUAUGUCUGAUAAACAAGAGGAGAAGAUGGUGGUCAAGUAAAGUGAUGGAAGAUCUAAAUCCAUUGAUGGAGCUAGAAUAGGAGGAAGCUUAAUGCUUGGAUCAACAAGUUCUGCAACCAAGUCUCCUCCCAUAAGUGUAGACAAGACGAUCAGUUUUUAUGUUUUUUUUUUCAUUUAUUAUUUGAUCUCAAUAGUCCAAAAACUAAAGUUGAUAGUGACAAAGUCUUUUGUAUUUCUCAUUCAGUAUAAAUAAAAUUUUCAAAUUUCU
This is a long non-coding RNA of Raphanus sativus (radish), 1014 nucleotides long. RefSeq lists it as uncharacterized. The transcript has 4 exons. NCBI's taxonomy places the organism in Eukaryota, Viridiplantae, Streptophyta, Magnoliopsida, Brassicales, Brassicaceae. The record is from RefSeq and is a predicted model, not a curated record.